GGGAGCGGCGGCCGUCGGGGCUGUGGAUGGGGCCGUUGCUAGGGACGUAGCAUCCGUUUGUUCCGUUGCUAGGGGCGUUGCUAGGGGCGUUGCUAGGGGAGCGGCGGCCGUCGGGGCCGUUGCUAGGGGCGUAGCAUCCGUUUGUUCCGUUGCUAGGGGCGUUGCUAAGGGCAUCCGUGUUCCAGGGCCCGUUGCUAGGGGCGUUGCCAUGGAUAUCGGUGUUCCUGGGUCCGUUGCUAGGGGCGUUGCUAAGGGCAUCCGUGGUCCAGGGUCGGUUGCUAGGGCCGUUGCCAUGGAUAUUGGUGUUCUUGGGUCGGUUGCUAAGGGCAUCCGUGUUCCUGGGUCCGUUGCUAGGGCCAUUGCCAUGGAUAUCAGUGUUCCUGGGUCCGUUGCUAGGGGCGUUGCUAAGGGCAUCCAUGGUCCAGGGUCGGUUGCUAGGGCCGUUGCCAUGGAUAUUGGUGUUCCUGGGUCCGUUGCUAGGGCCGUUGCUAAGGGCAUCGAUGUUCCUGGGCCCGUUGCCAUGGAUAUCAGUGUUCCUGGACCCGUUGCUAAGGGCAUCCGUGCUCUUGAGCCCGUUGCUAGGGGCGUUGCUAAGGGCAUCCAUGUUCCUGGGUCCGUUGCUAGGGGCGUUGCCAUGGAUAUCGGUGUUCCUGGGUCCGUUGCCAGGGCUGUUGCUAAGAGCAUCCCUGCUGCUAGGACUGUUGCCAUGGGGACCGCUCCAUCCAUCACCGGGUCCGUUGCCAUGGGAACCACUCCAUCCAUCUCCAAGGCCGUUGCUAUGGGGACCACUCCAUCCAUCCCUGGGCCCGUUGCCAUGGGGACCGCUCGAUCCAUCACCGGGACCGUCGCCACGGGGACCCCCGGGCCCCUCUCCGGGGCCGUUGCCAUGGAGACCGCGCCCCCCCCCACCCCGAGGUCGGUCGCUAAGGGCGGCGGGGCGGUUUCGUCGGGCCCUGGCCAGCAGGCUGUCGCAUUCCACCACGGUGUAGCGCAGCUCGGCGUAGACGUAGGUGGCCCCCCGGCGCGGCACCCAGGUGGAACGCAGCCAGCUGUUCUGGGGGGGGCCGGGGGGGUGCAACCCCGAGCAAACCUCGAACGUCCUCACCGCCGUCUGCCGCUCCUCGUCCAGCCCGCUCAGCUCCUCC
RNAcentral lists this long non-coding RNA (1145 nucleotides) under Numida meleagris (helmeted guineafowl). RNAcentral describes it as "lncRNA (ENSNMEG00000000713.1)". Lineage: Eukaryota; Metazoa; Chordata; Aves; Galliformes; Numididae. The record is from RNAcentral.